This 392-nucleotide ribosomal RNA is filed under the name uncultured bacterium. RNAcentral's name for it is "bacterial SSU rRNA". It matches the Rfam family "Bacterial small subunit ribosomal RNA", at positions 29 to 448 of the family's 1533-position model. The record is from RNAcentral.
AACGAACGCUGGCGGCAUGCCUAACACAUGCAAGUCGAACGCGUGUAGCAAUACACGAGUGGCGGACGGGUGAGUAACGCGUGGGAACCUGCCCAAUGGUAGGGAAUAACUGCGGGAAACUGCAGCUAAUACCCUAUGCUCCCUACGGGGGAAANAUUUAUCGCCAUUGGAGGGGCCCGCGUCGGAUUAGCUAGUUGGCGGGGUAACGCCCACCAAGGCUACGAUCCGUAGCUGGUCGAGAGGAUGAUCAGCCACACUGGGACUGAGAUACGGCCCAGACUCCUACGGGAGGCAGCAGUGGGGAAUAUUGGACAAUGGGGGAAACCCUGAUCCAGCAAUGCCGCGUGAGUGAAGAAGGCCUUAGGGUUGUAAAGCUCUUUCGGCGGGGACGA